Molecule: unclassified non-coding RNA, 910 nt
Filed under: Zea mays
Lineage: Eukaryota; Viridiplantae; Streptophyta; Magnoliopsida; Poales; Poaceae
Description: misc RNA Zm00001eb358920
Source: RNAcentral
GUUGUGUUGUACGUUGAAUUCCCUGAAAAGGCUGCAAAGCUGGCUGUUGACUUGGCAACGGAGGACGCAUUGGUGCAGGAUGAUGAGAAACAUGUGCUUGUUGAUGGGACACAGGUACAGGUUGCAAAAGAGCACCUUGUGUUUGCUGCUGUGUAUAUGAAGCAUUCUGGGGGUGCAUAUGAUGUGUUUGUUGAGGAUAGGCCUGUGGUUGUGGGUAAGCUUGCUGCUGGGCAUGUGGAGGCUGCAGCUGAACUUGAGAGUUUAACUGCAUCUGAGGUUGAAUAUUUUGAUGUGGAGGUAAAGCUUGCAGAUGUGGAUGUUGUUGCUGUGCAACAAUAUGUUGCUGCUGCGGAGGUUGAACUCGUACAUGUGGCUGCACCUGAUGAGCCGUUGCUUGAGUAGCAACUUGCUGGUUACCAACUUGAGUAAGAGCAGAUGGAUGUGCUGCAGGUUGUACUUGGAGACCAGAUGGUUGGAGAGGAACAUGACUUGGUUGGAACUGUGGAACUUGGGCUGACUGAAUUGAUUGAUGAAGCUGUGACUGAUCUGCAGGUAGUUGAACAUGGGAAAGAUGAGGGUGACUUUGGGGAUGAGGUUGAACUGGAUGCUGCUGAAGCUGCGGUUGACUUGUCAAUGGAUGGACCUGGGGUUGACUUUGAGCUUGCAUCAUCAGUUGGGAGGAUUGCACUUGAGGCUGAACAUAAGAAGCAGGUUGUGCAGAUCCUUGCACCACAUUUUGGGAUGGUACUUGCAUUGAAGGUUGCAUGUAAUGCUGAUACGCCUGCUGGUAUUGGUUAUACUGUUGAUAUUGCUGCAUGUAAGGGUUGGAUCCAGGAUGCUGCUGCUGAUAAUAUUGUGAGUAUUGGAGCUGCUGCUGCUGCUGGUACCAUUGCUCAGCUGUUGGAGUUUG